Long non-coding RNA from Stegostoma tigrinum, 7228 nucleotides. RefSeq lists it as uncharacterized. The record is from RefSeq and is a predicted model, not a curated record. The transcript has 3 exons. NCBI's taxonomy places the organism in Eukaryota, Metazoa, Chordata, Chondrichthyes, Orectolobiformes, Stegostomatidae.
AGCCAAUCAGAGCGAGUGAGAUGUUUGUCUGUGUGAAAAUCAUGUGAUCGCCUCUGUCCGCGGGCGCAAUAUCUCUGCGAAUGAGGGUUAGCUGCUUGCCGAAGCAAACGGAAAAACUGCUACGGACCUGAGGCUGCGAUAGGCAGAGGAUAUUUAUUGAGAAUAAUUUGCAGACCAGGAUCCCAAUGCAAGUUCUCCAUUAAGCGGAGUGAUCAGGAUCUGAGUAUCAUUGACACUUAACAGUGAAAGGAAAGAGGUUUAACCAUUCUAUGCGUGGGAGAAUACUCCUGGUAAGUUUGUAACUUGAAAGCAGGAUAUUCAAAUUUUUGGUUUGAUCACCUCUGGGAUAAGUGUUCAGUUCUAUACCCUGCAGCUGAGAAAGGAGAUAUUGGCCUGAGAGGGGUAGAUUUGUCCAAACAACACCUCGUCUCUUUGAAAGAACUGUCAUAUUUAGUCCCAUUCGCCCACUUCAUGAUUUUAGUCUAUACAUUUUUCAUUCUUGAAUACCUGCAAACUUCCUUUUAAAAUUCCUGAUGGGCACAAAUUCCAGCACCCCUCCAGGUGGAAUCUUCCAUUUCCUGACAACUCCAUUGAUCCUGAAACUGCUGAAGUCUGUGUUGAUUCCUGAGGUUUAUAAAUUAUUGCAUUUAACGUGAAGAUGCUGUUCCCUGAGCUUCCAUUGAGCUGCAUUGAAACAGUAUGGGAGGCUGAGAUCAGAGUGGGUGUGAGCAGACAAUGAAAAUGAAAAGGCUGCACUGUGAGUGCUGCUUGGCUAAAUGAGAGUGCUUUGGAGUUGGGUGAAACAGAAAGUGAAACUGAAAGAUUGAGUGUGAUGCUCAGUCUCAGUUUGGGCAGUUCAGAAAGUCUCUCAGUCCUAAUGGAAACAGCCAAUUGAUAUUUGAUAUCGUAAAGAAUUUUCUUACAGUUUUUAAAGUAUAUAUUAGCUUAAAUAAAGUUAGGGGCUUUAGGUUUAUAAUAGUAAUGUUUGAAAUGAAGGGGGAGGACCUAGCUUAAUUAAAUUCUUUUUAAGGCAGAAACUGGCUUAAUCUGGAGAGAAGUCAUAACAGAAGACAUCACAUCUGUGGUGUGCUCCUCUUGCACAAUAGAACAUAGGCUCUUGAUGUUGUGUCGACCUGUGAAACCACACUGAAGCCCAUUUAACCCACACUAUUCCAUUAUCAUCCAUAUGUUUAUCCAAAGACCACUUAAAUGCCCUUAAACUUGGCGAGUCUACUACUGUUGCAGGCAGGGCAUUGCACGCCCUUAUUACCCUGAGUAAAGAACCUACCUCUGACAUCUGUCCGAUAUCUAUGACCCGUCAAUCUAAAGCUAUAUCCCCUCGUGCUAGCCAGCUCCAUCUGAGGAAAAAGGAUCUCAGUGCCCACCCUAUCUAAUCCUCAUAUCAUCUUGUAUGUCUCUAUUAGGUCACCUCUGAACCUUCUUCUCUCUGACGAAAACAGCCUAAAGUCCCUCAACCUUUCCUCAUAAGACCUUCCCUCGAUACCAGGCAACAUUCUGGUAAAUCUCCUGUGCACCCUUUCCAAUGCUUGCACAUCCUUCGUGCAAUGCGGUGACCAGAACUCCGAGUGCGGCCGCACCAGAGUUUCGUACCGCUGCAAUAUGACCUCAUGGUUCUGAAACGCAAUCCCUCUAUCAAUAAAAACGAACACAUUGUACACCUUCUUAACAACCCUAUCAACUUGUGGACACUUUCAGGGAUCUAUGUACAUGGACACCGAGAUCUCUUUGCUCAUCCACACUAUCAAGAAUCUUACCAUUAGCCCAGUACUCUGUAUUCCUGUUACUCCUUCCAAUGUGAAUCACCUCACAGUUUUCCGCAUUAAACUCUGGGACAUUACCAGUGUCCCUAUUGGCUAUUUGUGCAGGAAGUGUGUCCAUCUGCAGCUACUGGUUAACUGCUUUUCAGAGCUUGAGCUGUGGGUGCAGUCAGUAUGGAGCAUCCAUGGUAACUGAGAAGGUUGUGGUCGCAUUCUCAACAGACUGGUCACGCAGCAGGUGAAGAUUACACAGACAGCAAGAGAAUGGGUGACUAUCAGACAAGUAAAAGGCUCAGAAAGGAAGUGCUAGAGUCAUCUCCCUCAAAUAGAUAUACUGUUUUGGGUACUGUUCGGUUGGGGGGUUGGGGGUGGGGGAGAGAGGUGGGGGAUGUUGGGGUGGCCACUCGGGAAGCAGCAUCAGUCAGGUUCAUGGCACUCGGAGUAACUCCGCUGCAUAGAAGGGGAGGGAAACGAUAAAUAUGACUGUAGAGACAGGGGAUUCAAUAGUAAGGGAUAGAGAGAGACAUGAAUCCAGGAUGGUAUGUUGCCUCCCUGGUGCCAGGAUUAGCAAUGACAUGGAGCAGCUUCAGGACAUUCUGGAGUGGGAGGAUGAACAUCCGAUUGUACCAGUGACAUAGGAAAACCAAGGGAGGAGGACCUGAAAGCUGAAGAUAGGAAGUUAAGAGAUACACUAAAAUACGAGAUCUCAAAUAUAGUAUUGUCAAGCUUACACCCAGUGCCACAUUGUUGUCGGGAGAAGUUUGUGUUGUGUUCAGUUGUACGAGUGACCUUUAUUCAGAGCUCUGUUACCACAUGUGUGGGAGAGGCCAGAGUCCACUCCAAACCUGGCUUUCACAUGAGGCCUAAUUCCCCUCUUAAAUACAGCUCAGAUUGGAAGAGUGGACAAUGACAUUCAGACUUUCCCUGGCUGAUUGUGAUAUUUUUAUUCCAUUCGCUAGAUGUUAUUUACAUGCAAUAUUGUUGUCAUUGUUAGCCACACACCCCAAAUCAAUAUACCCAAUCCAGUAAGCAAACCACUUUCCUAGGAUGGUGACGGCGAGUACGAGGGGGCAUAGCUUUAAAUUGAGGGGUGAAAGAUAUAGGACAGAUGCCAGAGGUAGUUUCUUUACUCAGAGAGUAGUAAGGGAAUGGAACGCUUUGCCUGCAACGCUAGUAGAUUUGCCAACUUUAGGUACAUUUAGGGUGUCAUUGGAUAAGCAUAUGGACGUACAUGGAAUAGUGUAGGUUAGACGGGCUUGAGAUCGGUAUGACAGGUCGGCAAAACAUCAAGGGCCGAAGGGCCUGUACUGUGCUGUAAUGUUCUAUGUCCUAUGUUCAAACAAUCGUGGACAACACUAUGUUCAGUCCUAAACCCUUCUAUAAUCUCCUGAGGUUAGCUCGAAAACUACUUCGUCUGUCUUUGGGACCUUACAAUGCUUUGGCAGUUAUAUUCCUCCUCAGACAUUUGCCAGCUGCACCACAUUUUUUUGCCAAAAACCAAAAUAGUAGCUUAUCACUAAGAACUUUUCCAAAUUCUCUACUAACUGUAGUGUGGAUUGUUAGGAAUUGUGAUAAAGUCUUUUAAACUCAACUCUGAUAUAAAGUAACUACAAUUUUGUAAUACAGUUGACAAAUUGUGGAAAAAUCCCUCUGUCACUUCAGCUUAAAAGAUCAAACAGUGUUUCUGACUUGCUGCUGCAGUUUACAACCCCAACAAUUUGUAUGCUGCAAAUGAUUUUUAAAGUGAAGUUUCAUUUUCUACUCUAAGCGCUUUCCAUUAUUACUUUCUUGUUUUAAUAAAGAGCAUCUAUUCAAACUCCACCGAGGGUGAAAUUCAGUCACUUUAGAACUUUACCAAGCUGUUAAACAGAACUUGUUUAGAUUUCACAAAUAACUAAGGCACUAACCAUAUCUUCACUUUGGAUUUUGUAAUCUAUCUUUGUCACUCUUCCGUUGAUCUUUGGAUGUAAGAAUUUGUUCAAAUUAUCCGUAUCUACAUUUCAAUUGUUUUAUCUCUCUGCAGCCCUGACUUCUCUCUUUAUAAUCUUCCUUUGCCCCUUCCUAUGUUGUUGGUCUUUUAGAGGUUGUGUUUACACCGUUUAUUGCUUUGCCUUCCAUAAUGAUGCAGUGAGCUGCUUUUAUUGCUGACAAACAUUUGCUCAAGGAAUUUAGCUAACCGUUUCACGUUAAUUGGUUGUUUGCAUUUCUGGUUACAAUUACCUAAACAGUUCAGAAUGCUGUAGGAUCAGACUUUUGCUUCUACUUUUCAUUAAGUAACAAACUUGUGAUUGUGGCUGAACCGGGCCUUUAAACACUGCCUCUUGUUAAAAUGCUUAUGUGUUUUGAACUGCCUGUUAACAGAAACCCAAGUAAAUUCCCUAAUGUUCCUUCUCAACAGGACUCUUUUAUAUCCCCACAGGACCUUUCGUGAUCUAAUCCCGUAACAGUGUGAGCUGCUACAAUGCACAUGCUAGUAAAAGCAUAAGAGGACAGAUGAGAUGAGUGCAUGGCUGGAGCUAUAACUUAAAAAGAUUUGGAUUCCUGAGGCAUUGAGACUGUUUGUUUGUUUCUGGGGAAGGUGGGACAUGCACAAGCUUGAACAAUUGUCCUGGGCAGAGCUGGGACAGAUAUUCUUGUUGAUGCUUUUGCUAGUUCCACUGGUGAGGAUUUAAACUCGUAUGACAGGGGAAUGGGAACCAAAGUAUACCUUUAGCAGUAAAAGACUCAAAUCAGCAAAUGGGACGUGAAAUUAGUUCAUGAUGUUGUCGGUGGCUGAAAGAUUAAAAGAAAGAAGGAUUAAUCAAGAUCAAAUCUCUUUUCAUACAUCAGUCCUGUGAUCCCAGGAAUUGGUCUGGUGAACCUUCUUUGCGAUCAUUCAGUAGCCAGACCAUCCUUCCUUUGGAAAGGAGAACAAAGGUGCACACUACUGCAGGUGUGGUCUCACCAAGGCCCUUAUAGAAAGACAUCCCUCCUCCUGUACUCGAAUCCUGUCACAAUGAAGGCCGAAAUAUCAUUUGCAUUCUUCACUACUUGCUGCUGCCUGUUUCCUAAAAGAGAAUAGGAGAGAAACACGGAACUAAAUGGGGUCAGACAGUCGGGUACAAUUGUUGAACACACUGUCCCCAUUGUAUCGGUGCUGGCCAUCAAGCACCUAUUUAAGCUAGGCCCGUUUUCUGGCACUCGGUGUGUAACCUAUAUUAUGGUGCAGUGGAUGAUCAUCUCAACACUUCUUCAAGAUUGCAAUGGUUCCUGCAUCUAUUAACAUUUCAGAUGCUGCCAGAUCUACUGUGUAUCUCCAUCUUUUUCUGUUUUUAUUCCAGAUUUCGGGUAUUUUGCUGUGUAUUCUUAGUCCUUCAGAAGCAUCAGAGGGUAUGGGGAGAAAACAGGAAUUGGAUUCAUUUUCAGAUGUAUAAAAUGCCUGCCCUUCAUGUCUGUCCAAACUCUAUCUCUUUUUGUAGUUUUGGGCAAACGCUGACUGUUUCCUUUCCCUGAAGGACAUUAAAUGAACCAGUUCAGUUUUACUGAUAAUCCAGCAGUGCCCCUCAGUGUUGCAUCCACAAUUGACCAGAUUAAUUUCUGAGUUUCACAAUCUUUGUGUGUGUUCUUCUGGUUUCUCUCUCUCUCUCUCUCUCUCUCUCUCUCUCUCUCUCUCUACGUUUCUUUUUUUUCUUCAGUUUGAAAUUUUGAUUGCAUUCAGAGAAAUCAAACAAAACCACAUCCAGAUCUGACACUCAAUCUGUUUGUCAUAACCUAAUUAUCUCAGGAUUUUGAACAUUAAAGGAAGAAGCACUGUUCACACCAGGGAGAAAUGCGUAUUGUCUGUGUGUCGAAGAGUCUUUGAAGAUUCAUCUGAAAUGCCCAAACACCAGCGCAGUCACACUUGGGAGAGACUGUGGAAAUGUGGGGAUUGUGGGAAGGGAUUUAUUUACCCAUCCCAGCUGGAAAUGCACCAACGCAGUCACACUGGGGAGAAACCGUUCAUUUGCUCUGAUUGUGGGCUGGGAUUCACUCAGUCAAGCAACCUGCUGAAACACCGAGUUCACAGUGGGGAGAGACUGUUCACAUGUUCCGAGUAUGGGAAGGGAUUUGCUCGCUCACUCAACCAACCUGCUGAGACACCAGCGAGUUCACUCUGGGGACAGACCAUUCACUUGUUCUAUGUGUGGAAAGGGAUUCACUCAAUCAUCCCAACUGUUAACACACCAGCAAGUUCACCACAACCACAUUUGAAGGAUUUUGCCCUUAAAUCAAGGAAUGAACUUUGAUCUUUGGGCUGUUUGUACUGGUGUCAUUAGUCCCUGCUCAAAACUUGAUCUUCUCUUGGGAAAUAAGGUAGGGCAGGUGACUGAGGGGUCAGCAGGGGCGAGAAUAUUUUGGGGCCUAUGAUUGUAUCUCUAUUAGUUUUAAAAUAAUUAUGGAAAAGGAUAGACUUUGGUCUAAGAGUCAAAGUUUUAAAUGAGACUAAGGCCAAUUUUGACACUACUAUGCUCCUUAAAAGCACAGUAAGACCGCCUAUGUGUGGGAAUGCACGAGUUGGGUGAGAUACAAAAAAGUAUUUUACAUCAGUAUUUACUGUGAUCAAGGAUACAAAAGCUAAAGAACUUAGAGAAAUGAAUGUGUAUCUUGAAAAGUUCCAUGUUGUGGAGGAGGUGGUGCUGGAUGCCUUACAGACCAUAAAGGUGGAUAAAUCCCCAGGACCUCUUCAGGUGUAUUCUCGAACUUUGCGGGAAGCUAGGCUUGCAAUUGGGCCCCUUGCUCAGAUAUUUGCACCAUUGACAGUCAUAGGUGAGCUGUUACACUGGAGGUUGGCUAAUCUGGUGCCAUUGUUUAAGAAAGGUGGUAACAGAAAACCAGGGAACAAUAAACUUUUGGUGAGCCUGACGUCAGCUGUGGGUAAGUUGUUGGAGGGAAUUCUGAGGGAUAGGAUUUACAUAUAUUUGGAAAGCGUGGACUGAAUGGGGAAUAGUCGACAUGGCUUUGUCCAUAGGAAAUUAUGUCUUACUAACUUGAUUGAGUUUUUUUGAAGAAGUUAGAAACAAGAUUGAUGGCAGAGCGGUGGAUGUUUUCGAUAUUCCGCAUGGUCGACUGAUUAACAAGGUUAGAUCACAUGGAAUCCAGGGAGAGCUGGCCAUUUGGAAAGGCGUUUGACCUGCAGUAUGCUGCAAGGAUUGGUACUUAGUAGCUAUAACUCGUACAUUCACAUCCAAAUCAUCUUUAUAAAUGACAAAAUGGAGUGGACCCAGCUCUGAUCCUUGCAGCACACCACUGGUCACAGGCCUCCAGUCUACAAAGCAACCCUCCACCAGCACUCCGUCUUCUACCUUCAAGUCAGAUCUGUUUCCAAAUGACUGGUUCUCUCUGUAUUCCAUGUGAUCUGACCUUGCUCAUCAGUCUACCAUGAGGAACCUUGUCAAACGCCUUAGUGACAUCCAUAUAGAAUACAUCCACCU